Molecule: non-coding RNA, 372 nt
Organism: Pelobates cultripes (western spadefoot toad)
Lineage: Eukaryota; Metazoa; Chordata; Amphibia; Anura; Pelobatidae
Source: the annotation of a GenBank genome assembly
GGGUGACCAAAUGUCGUCGGCCUGGUAUGGAGGUAAGUCUGAGUUUAUAUAGGCCGGAUCAUCCCCUCCCACAACUCCAGGCUCCGCCUUCCCAUUUGUCGUCAGGGAAAUUAGCAGAGUAAGAGUGGAUCGUAUUAGCUAAAUUCGGUUGUGGUGUGCCGAAACCGAAUGUACGGGCAGGCCUGUAAAUAAAGAGGGCAAAACGUAUGGGCAAACUACUUUAAUACGUAACAGAAAAAUUCCAUAUAAGAGUAUGAGCAUACGUAUCACUUAGUUAAAUCGAUAAAGGCUUUCCUCAUUUCUCGCUCUGGUUGAGGAAUGUAUCGGUUGAAAGCGGAUGAUUUCCAACGUCCCAAUUUUUUAUGAUGUGUG